Molecule: long non-coding RNA, 436 nt
Filed under: Homo sapiens (human)
Lineage: Eukaryota; Metazoa; Chordata; Mammalia; Primates; Hominidae
Description: ARNT2 divergent transcript
Source: RNAcentral
GGUGUCAUUCUUUCGCGCUGCACACACCUUCCUCCACGUGGUGAAGAUACAUCGCUCCUGACAGCCUCAUGCCUGACUGGACACUGAAAAAGAGGUGAAGAGAUGAGGCGAUAGAACAAAAGAACAGAAAGAUAAUGAAGCUGAGACUAAGUAAGUGAAAGCAUAAUUAUGUAUGCAGCCACAAAUGGAGCACAAAGCAAUUACUGCUUGUGGGAAUUUGAGAGAUGCUCUUUGAAGAGGUGUGAGGGAAUCAGUAAUACUUGCAGUGACUUUUAAGGAGGUGGAGUGUGCUGAUGAAGAUGCCACAAAGAACUGAUGGGAAGUUAUUCCUCUCCCCAACUGCUAUUGUAUCCUUCCUGUAGUGCUGUCUCUGCUUUUUGCAUCUUGCCCAGUAUAUUAUGACACAAAUAAAAAUUCUCUUUUCAUCAUCUUGCAA